This 359-nucleotide non-coding RNA is filed under the name Pan troglodytes (chimpanzee). Lineage: Eukaryota; Metazoa; Chordata; Mammalia; Primates; Hominidae. The record is from RNAcentral.
CAGAUCUCCUCCGGGAGUGGUGGGCAGCAACUGUGAAAGGCCUGGUUCAAAAACCUCACAGCGGUUGUUUGCAGAGUUGUCCCUCCUGUGUACUCUCAAAGCCCCAGAAUGAAGCAAAGCAUCCUCCCUUUUCAAACUGGCACUCUUCCCAACCUUGAGGACCACUAGGCACUUUGAUUUUAAAGCCACAGUUACUUUUAUGGAGAAGUAUUGUUAUGAAAAAAGGGAGGCAUCUGAGGAGCAGAAACAGAGAAAUGAGUGACUGAGAUCAGUGUCUUAUUUUGACCAUCUUUUCCAAGUGCUGCAUCCUCCCAAACACAACAUGAACUCAACACUUAAUAAAGCUGCAGUCCUACGUG